Fukomys damarensis (Damara mole-rat) is the source of this 123-nucleotide small nuclear RNA. Its record names the gene U2. It matches the Rfam family "U2 spliceosomal RNA". Rfam says of the family: U2 is a small nuclear RNA (snRNA) component of the spliceosome (involved in pre-mRNA splicing). Complementary binding between U2 snRNA (in an area lying towards the 5' end but 3' to hairpin I) and the branchpoint sequence (BPS) of the intron results the bulging out of an unpaired adenosine, on the BPS, which initiates a nucleophilic attack at the intronic 5' splice site, thus starting the first of two transesterification reactions that mediate splicing. The record is from Ensembl. Lineage: Eukaryota; Metazoa; Chordata; Mammalia; Rodentia; Bathyergidae.
AUCACUUAUUGGCGUUUUGGCUAAGAUCAAGUGUAGUAUCUAGUCUUAUCAAUUUAAUAUCUGAUUCGUCCUCUAUCUGAGGACAAUAUUUUAAAUGGAUCCCUUUGGGACCUGGGAGUUAGA